This 563-nucleotide long non-coding RNA is filed under the name Danio rerio (zebrafish). RNAcentral describes it as "si:cabz01070527.3 (ENSDARG00000104600.3)". The record is from RNAcentral. Lineage: Eukaryota; Metazoa; Chordata; Actinopteri; Cypriniformes; Danionidae.
UGUCUCCGUUCGGUCACACACUGUGUGCUUGAAGUUUGGACUUGCUAUUUACUCGCAAUUUAAAUCUUAAUCAUUAAGUUCUUCCUCAUUCGCUACGUAUUUGUCUCUCCUACUUAGGGUGACCAAACCCUUAAUACAUUUAUACAAACAAAACUGCUUUAAAAACGGAGAAGCAUCGAUGGAGGCGUUGGAGCUGGAGCUGGAAGAAGUGGAGUCCCAGAUCCGCGCGCUGGUGGCCCAGCGCACCCGGGGCGCGGCUCAGCCAGGCGUCGUUCACGCCGACACCCGGCUACCACGGCGCCUGGGUGCAGCCGCGCAAGGUGCUUCCCAGAUCCCGGGGCAGAACGUCUCCGCCUGUGUUCGAGAUCUCCACGGAGAACCGCUUCUCCCCGCUCCGCGAGUCGGGUCCGAUGUGGCCAUCAUCGGUGACUCGAUCGUUCGUCACGUCCGUGCCGCCUCCUCAAAAGGUAAUAAAGUACGUACUUUCUGCUUUCCUGGUGCCCGUGUGAAAAAUAUUUCUACACAGAUUCCAACCAUCCUGGGCGCUGCCGAGAGCCCUGGUG